RNAcentral lists this ribosomal RNA (56 nucleotides) under Enterococcus sp. LC-2000/11. Its description in RNAcentral is "partial 16S ribosomal RNA". Lineage: Bacteria; Bacillati; Bacillota; Bacilli; Lactobacillales; Enterococcaceae. The record is from RNAcentral.
AAGAGGACUUGCUCUUCUGGAUGAGUUGCGAACGGGUGAGUAACGCGUGGGGAAAA